Molecule: long non-coding RNA, 4050 nt
Organism: Mytilus trossulus (common blue mussel)
Lineage: Eukaryota; Metazoa; Mollusca; Bivalvia; Mytilida; Mytilidae
Exons: 3
Source: RefSeq, a predicted model, not a curated record
UAGGUUCUUCUGUGAUAUGUUUUCAUGGUGUGGGAAUAAGACUUGGUGGUCUAAUACAGCUAAUACAAAGGUUAGCAUCACAGCUUGUCUGUAAGGAUUGAAGCUGGGAGUGGGCAUUGGAGCUGACUUUUAUGGUAACUGUGACUGCAUUAAAGAGCUAUGUGAUUUUACUGUAACAGUAGAGAAUGUAAUUCAGACUAUUUUUGUGUAUGUUUGAGAAAAUGUUUAUAAUUUUUACCAUAUAAAAAAAAAUUAUGUACAGGUUCUCUAUUUUCAACAAGAUUGGAAGUUGUAGGUUAAUAGGUCUUUGAAAUUUAAAAAAUACUAUUUUUUGUUCAUACUCACAUCUAGAGAAAACACUUCCAAGAAGUUUAAAAAUGGAGAAUCUAAAAAAAAAAAAAAGAAAAAAAAAAUGUUCAAUUAUUGAAAGGUUUUUGUUCAGCCUUUGACUUAAGUAAAAAAGAGAGACAUAAGGAUCCUACAUUCUGUUAUUUGCUUGGUCUGACAGCGUCCACAUAUGAGGGGGAAUAGGAGGGGUCCUGAUCCUGAAAUUCCAGGCUUAAAAACACGAAAUCCUGAGGUCCCAAAAUUGGAAAAAAUAAUUCCCCGAUCCCGAAAGGGUCAAUCCCGAAAUCCCAAGCUUAAAAACACCAGAUCCUGGAGUCCCAAUAAAGAUCAUAUCCCCCUCACAUAUAUUCAGUAAUUUUUCUUGCAUAAGCUGGACCUAGUUUUUGGUCAAGGUAGUUUUUAAUGAAGCUGAAGUCAAAUCAACUUGAAACUUAGUACACUUGUUGCUUAUGAUAUGACCUUUCUAAUUUUAAAGCCUAAUUAGACUUUUGACCCUGAAUUCAUGGCCCACUGAACAUAGAAAUGAAAGUGGGAGUUUCAGGUUAAACUUUUUGGUCAAGGUAGUUUUUGAUGAAAUUGAAGUCCAAUCAACUUGAAACUUGGUACACAUGUUCCCUAUAGUAUUAUCUUUUUAAUUUUAAUGCAAAAUUAGAUUUUUACCGAAUUUCAUGGUUCAUGGAACAUGGAAAAUGAUAGUGCGAAUGGGGCAUUCAUGUACUUUGGACAAAUUCUUGUUCUGGUGUGAUUUGAACAGUCCCUCCUUCCCCUGGACAACCAAUUAUUUAUUGCUUAAAUUAAUCAUAUGGAUUUUCAUUAAAAGGUAAAAAAAAAAAUGAUAGUAGUUAAUACUGUAUGCAGAGUGUGUGAUAUAUUUUUCUGGUUCGUCAAGGUCUUUAAAUGCAUUUUUUUUUCAAUUUUCAGAUCCCACAAACAUAAGCUAAGGGAACCUGCAAAAUAAGAUUUGUCUUUGUUUAAUUUGUAAUGAUAUGUUAAAGAGCAAAAUGUUUGUAUUUGUCCAUCUGUGUCUUCGAUCCAAAACUCCAAUUACAUAUAGUCAUCUGUAUAAAGUGGAUCCAGGGAUCAUGUAUGCAGGGUAGGGUUUCGAUAAAACACAGAGUUAAAUGUUUUAUAAGAACAAGACUUUAGGGAUUGCUACAGUGAUUUAAUUAGACAUAUUUUGGUUUGUAUGGCACCUUUAUCGAGAUUAAAGCUACAAGAUAGUACAAAAUCCUGUAGUGAUAAUUUAUAUUUCACAAUGUCACCACCAGGAUACAUUAUAAAUAAGAAGUAAAGGUAGAUUAGAAAGUUAACUGGAUUAAGAAUGUUAAAUAAAAUAUGUUUUUGUAAAUUUGGACGACAUUUGACUUGCAAUUAUGUACUAUUUACUACACUGGAUGUAGUACAGACUUGCUUAACGUACCAUUUCAAUACUGGGAAGAGUACGUUUGUCUGAGCGAAGCCAAUUGGAAGCAUGUACCUCUUAGUGAAGCUAAUUGGGAGUACAUACCCUCUGUCUUGUUGCGAAGCUGAUUGGAAGCAGUACAUAUACACCUCUGUCUGCUUAACUUAUUAGAAGCAGUACCCUUGGCAGAGUGGUCCCAAUUAGAGGCAGUAACUCUGAGCGAAGCCAAUUGGAAGCAUGUACCUCUGCAAAAUUUGAUCAAACACUAUUCAACAAAUUUUAGUUAACAUUCUUUUAAAGUUUACUUUCAUAUCUUCUUUUAUUUUUUUAUUUAUCAUUAUUCCCCCUGUUGACAUUAAUUAUUAAGUGCAAAUUAUCACUUCACCAUUUUGUACUCUUUUGUCACUAAGUUUUUAUUCUGAUGAAAGUGCUGUAGAAAUUAAAACAUGCCAAUAUAGUUUGAUUACUCCAACAAUCCCUGAAGUAUUAUUAUAAGAAUUAUCAUAAAUGAAUCUUUUAUAGACCAUUGAAAUACUAUGCAUUUUGCUGGUUAUUUAUUUCACUUUUUGUCAAGCCUUCGAAUGUAGUUGAAAAAGCAAGAAAUAGCAAUUCUUCAUCCUUUUGGCUGCUGCGGCGGUCAUAAAUAUUCACUCUGUAGUUCAAGUUUUUGAAAUUUUAAUUAUUUUCUUAAACUAUCCUGGAUUUUUACAAAACUUGGACAGAAGCUUGUUUAUGACCAUAAGAUAAUAUCUAGAAGUAAAUUUUGUGAUUUAAAAAAAAAAUCAAUUUUUACUUAUAACUGGACUUUCUGCCAGGAAACAAUAUAUUCACUCUGUGGUGGAAGUUUUUCAAUUUUUUUAAUAGCUUUCUUAAACUAUCCUGGGUUUGUACCAAACUUGGACUGAACCUUGUUUAUGAUCAAGAGAUAAUAAUAAGUAUGUAAGGAAAAUGUGUACCUGUUUAUCUGUAUUUUACUUAUAAAUGGACUUCGUUUUAUUUCCAGUUAAUAUAAUUUACAGUCUGCAAACAUUUAUUAAAUUCAAAAGAUCCAGAACUUUUCACAAAAGGGGGGGGAGGGACUCUCUAGUCAUGCUUCAAUGAUUCCCUAUAUAAUCAAUCAAUUUUUUUAAGGGAAAAGGGGAGGGGCUGGAUUCCCCUUAGGUGGAUUUCUACCAAACUUGGACAGAAGCUUUUUACAAUCAGAUGGAGAGGAAUAUUUUUAUUGAUAUUUUCCCUCUUUUUUGUUUAGCCUGAGUUUAACAGUUGGCUAGACACUGUGUUCUACAGAACCAUUACAAAUGACAUUUUAGCAAAUUGUAAUAUAUUUUUCACCUUUGUCAUGUUUAGCUGAGUUUAUAACAAAGGGUAUAUUUUUUUAAGAAUAUUUUACAAGGAGCAUAGUUGAAGAAUAUCUUGAUGAAAGAAGAUUGAUUGACUUUUGGGUAUUUAACCCCACUUUGAUAAUGGUUUGUUAUAUUUUGGCUGCCAGUUUUUAUUUGUGGAAACAGCCUGGUGAAAACAUUCCCUUUAACAGAGAAACUGGCAACUCUUGUCAAUUAAGAUUGAUGUUAAACACACCUACCAUGUCGGGGGCAGAUCCAGGCAUUUUAAAAGGGGGGGCCCAACUAAGGACAAAGGGGAGUUCUAACUAUAUGUCCCCAUUCAAAUGCAUUGAUAGGCCAAAAAAGGGGGGAUUCCAACCCCCAGAACCCCCUGGUGGAUCCUCCAACGAAUGUGAGGGUUCAGAGAGUUGACAGACUAGUGAAACAGUAGUUGAACUUCAUUGACCAUUCAGUCGCUAUUACUCCAUCUGCACUAAAAAUGUUAUUGAAAUAUGUUGAAUAUUUGUAAUUUACUUAUUUUUUUUAUUUUGAUUACCAGUACACUAUUUUUGUUUUUUUUUGUUAUGUAAAACAAAGAUUUGGAGUUCUAACAGGGUGAAAUUUAUGUCAAAGGGAGGUAAUUUAUUGUACUGUGUUUAACUUCAAAUACUUGAAAUCCCCUCAAUGUUAGAUUUUUAUUUAUGGGAAUACUCACGUUUAUGCAUAUAUUUUUUACAUAUCAGAUGUUCUCUAGAUACAUCACUUAAAAUAAUUACAUGAAUUUUUUUUUAAAGUUUAUUGAUUGAAAGUACAUCUGAUACUUUUAUGUAUGUUAUGUUAUUUUCUAAAACCAAAUGGACACAACUUAGAUUGACAAUAAGAUAUUGAGAAGAACCACCUUAUCAGCCAGGAUGGCAGCUCUUACGAAGAUGGUCAAUUAAAUCUUCAACCAAGUCUGAGGCUUUACCAAGAAAAUAG